This 482-nucleotide ribosomal RNA is filed under the name uncultured bacterium. Its description in RNAcentral is "partial 16S ribosomal RNA". It matches the Rfam family "Bacterial small subunit ribosomal RNA", at positions 30 to 507 of the family's 1533-position model. The record is from RNAcentral.
AUUGAACGCUGGCGGCAGGCCUAACACAUGCAAGUCGAGCGGAUGAAGGGAGCUUGCUCCUGGAUUCAGCGGCGGACGGGUGAGUAAUGCCUAGGAAUCUGCCUGGUAGUGGGGGAUAACGUCCGGAAACGGGCGCUAAUACCGCAUACGUCCUGAGGUAGAAAGUGGGGGAUCUUCGGACCUCACGCUAUCAGAUGAGCCUAGGUCGGAUUAGCUAGUUGGUGGGGUAAAGGCCUACCAAGGCGACGAUCCGGAACUGGUCUGAGAGGAUGAUCAGUCACUGGAACUGAGACACGGUCCAGACUCCUACGGGAGGCAGCAGUGGGGAAUAUUGGACAAUGGGCGAAAGCCUGAUCCAGCCAUGCCGCGUGUGUGAAGAAGGUCUUCGGAUUGUAAAGCACUUUAAGUUGGGAGGAAGGGCAGUAAGUUAAUACCUUGCUGUUUUGACGUUACCAACAGAAUAAGCACCGGCUAACUUCGUG